Molecule: small RNA, 98 nt
Filed under: Aeromonas sp. RU39B
Lineage: Bacteria; Pseudomonadati; Pseudomonadota; Gammaproteobacteria; Aeromonadales; Aeromonadaceae
Source: RNAcentral
AUUGGACCAACGCUUCCCCACUCCCGGUUAGCGCACGGCUCUGCAAAGAGCCAAUUCCCCUAUACCAGGUACAUGGACUUCGUACCUGGUUUUUUUUG